GUUCAAGUGAUUCUCCUGCCUCAGCCUCCCAAGUAGCUGGGACUACAGGCGUCUGCAACCACACCUGGCUGAUUUUUGUAUUUUUAGUAGAGAUGGGGUUUUACCAUAUUGGUCAGGCUGGUCUCAAAUUCCUGACGUCAGGUGACCCACCUGCCUUGGCCUCUCAAAAUGUUGGGAUUACAGGUGUUAGCCACUGUGCCUGGCCUGUAUUGUAUUUUAAUAGGUGAUUAUUGGUUUUCAUAUUAAGAUAGUGAAAUCUAGCGCAAGGAUCUCAAAAAUUUGUUUGAUGAUUGAAGGAAUAUUCUGAAAAUUACCUAGUAUAGAUGUUAGGAUAAAGAGCAGACCCUUUUCAAUAUAGGUGAGAGGAGAAGUUGGAGGGUGUGAUGAUACUCAAAAGUUUUUCACUGAAGAGAAAUUGGGGCGUGCAGUAAACAUGUAAAAAGAUUCUUACUAAUAAGCAGGUGGAUGCAAAUGAAAAUCAUCAUGGAAGGUUAUUUUUAAAACUGAUUGUAUCAUUGCCUCACUUUAUAUAUUACAGAGUUAUACAUACUACUUUGUAAGAUAACUUUUCUUUUCAAAACUGAAGUCAAUGUGAUAGAAUGGUGAGCAUUAUUUUGGAAGGCCAGACUAGGAGGAGGUGGGAGGAAGAAGUCAGACUCAGCCUGUGAACAGACGCUAACCUUGGCAGAAGCCAAAACAGUCAGACAGUGUUGUGUAAAAAUGAUCAUUCAAGAAGAGCGAAACAGCAAGGUGAUUUGUGAAAGAGAUUUAUUAGAAAAUGAAACACAUUUAUACCUCUGUUCAAUAAAAAUCUGCUUUUCGUCAA
RNAcentral lists this long non-coding RNA (826 nucleotides) under Homo sapiens (human). RNAcentral describes it as "HSALNT0379684". Lineage: Eukaryota; Metazoa; Chordata; Mammalia; Primates; Hominidae. The record is from RNAcentral.